AGCAGCCGCGGUAAUUCCAGCUCCAAUAGCGUAUAUUAAAGUUGUUGCAGUUAAAAAGCUCGUAGUUGAAUUUCGGGGUUAGUAGGUUGGUCGUGCCACUGGUACGUACUGGUCUCACUGAUUCCUCCUUCCUGAUGAACUGUAAUGCCAUUAAUUUGGUGUUGCAGGGAAACUGGACUGUUACUUUGAAAAAAUUUAGAGUGUUUAAAGCAAGCUAACGCUUGAAUACAUUAGCAUGGAAUAAUGAAAUAGGACGUUCGAUCCUAUUUUGUUGGUUUCUAGGAUUGACGUAAUGAUUAAUAGGGAUAGUUGGGGGCAUUAGUAUUCAAUUGUCAGAGGUGAAAUUCUUGGAUUAUUGAAGACUAACUACUGCGAAAGCAUUUUGCCAAGGAUGUUUUCAUUAAUCAAGAACGAAAGUUAGGGGAUCGAAGACGAUCAGAUACCGUCGUAGUCUUAACCAUAAACUAUGCCGACUAGGGAUCGGAUGAUGUUAAUUUUAUAAUGACGCGUUCGGCACCUU
This 520-nucleotide ribosomal RNA is filed under the name uncultured Glomus. Its description in RNAcentral is "SSU rRNA". It matches the Rfam family "Eukaryotic small subunit ribosomal RNA", at positions 569 to 1089 of the family's 1831-position model. Lineage: Eukaryota; Fungi; Glomeromycota; Glomeromycetes; Glomerales; Glomeraceae. The record is from RNAcentral.